Molecule: ribosomal RNA, 497 nt
Filed under: uncultured bacterium
Lineage: Bacteria
Description: partial 16S ribosomal RNA
Rfam family: Bacterial small subunit ribosomal RNA
Source: RNAcentral
GAUGAACGCUGGCGGCGUGCCUAAUACAUGCAAGUCGAGCGAACGGACGAGAAGCUUGCUUCUCUGAUGUUAGCGGCGGACGGGUGAGUAACACGUGGAUAACCUACCUAUAAGACUGGGAUAACUUCGGGAAACCGGAGCUAAUACCGGCUGAUAUUUUGAACCGCAUGGUUCAAAAGUGAAAGACGGUCUUGCUGUCACUUAUCGAUGGAUCCGCGCUGCAUUAGCUAGUUGGUAAGGUAACGGCUUACCAAGGCAACGAUGCAUAGCCGACCUGAGGGGGUGAUCGGCCACACUGGAACUGAGACACGGUCCAGACUCCUACGGGAGGCAGCAGUAGGGAAUCUUCCGCAAUGGGCGAAAGCCUGACGGAGCAACGCCGCGUGAGUGAUGAAGGUCUUCGGAUCGUAAAACUCUGUUAUUAGGGAAGAACAUAUGUGUAAGUAACUGUGCACGUCUUGACGGUACCUAAUCAGAAAGCCACGGCUAACUACGUG